UCCCCGUUACCGGGGCAGUCUGAAUAGAAAAAUUCAACUAUUCAUAAGGGUUGCGCUCGUUAAUGGACUUAACCAAACAUCUCACGACACGAGCUGACGACGGCCAUGCAGCACCUGUCACUUGGCUCAAUAAAGCACUCUCGCCUCUCGGCAAAAUUCCAAGGAUGUCAAGUGUUGGUAAGGUUCUUCGCUUAUCGUCGAAUUAAAGAACAUGCUCCACCGCUUGUGCGGCUCCCCGUCAAUUCCUUUAUGUUUUAGUCUUGCGACCGUACUCCACAGGCGGGAUACUUAACGCGUUAGCUUCGCUACUGAAGGGGUCGAUACCUCCAACAGCUAGUAUCCAUCGUUUACGGCGUGGACUAC
RNAcentral lists this unclassified non-coding RNA (363 nucleotides) under uncultured bacterium. RNAcentral describes it as "contains 16S-23S intergenic spacer region". The record is from RNAcentral.